RNAcentral lists this ribosomal RNA (460 nucleotides) under uncultured bacterium. RNAcentral describes it as "partial 16S ribosomal RNA". It matches the Rfam family "Bacterial small subunit ribosomal RNA", at positions 338 to 795 of the family's 1533-position model. The record is from RNAcentral.
CCUACGGGAGGCAGCAGUGAGGAAUAUUGGUCAAUGGGCGUAAGCCUGAACCAGCCAAGUCGCGUGCGGGAUGAAGGUUCUAUGGAUCGUAAACCUCUUUUAUAAGGGAAUAAAGUGCGGGACGUGUCCCGUUUUGUAUGUACCUUAUGAAUAAGGAUCGGCUAACUCCGUGCCAGCAGCCGCGGUAAUACGGAGGAUCCGAGCGUUAUCCGGAUUUUUUGGGUUUAAAGGGUGCGUAGGCGGCCUUUUAAGUCAGCGGUGAAAGUCGGUGUCUAAACCAUAGAAUUGCCGUCGAAACUGGGAGGCUUGAGUAUGUUUGAGGCAGGCGGAAUGCGUGGUGUAGCGGUGAAAUGCUUAGAUAUCACGCAGAACCCCGAUUGCGAAGGCAGCUUGCCAGGCCAUGACUGACGCUGAUGCACGAAAGCGUGGGGAUCAAACAGGAUUAGAUACCCUAGUAGUC